GACAGAGGUCCCGAGCGUUAGGCGGAAUCACUGGGCUUAAAGCGUGUGUAGGCGGAUCUGUAAGUACCUUGUGAAAUCCCACGGCUUAACCGUGGAACUGCUCGGUAUACUGCGGAUCUUGAGCCACCUAGGGGCGAGCGGAACAAGUGGUGGAGCGGUGAAAUGCGUAGAUAUCACUUGGAACGCCAAUGGUGAAAACAGCUCGCUGGGGGUGUGCUGACGCUGAGACACGAAAGCCAGGGGAGCGAACGGG
Molecule: ribosomal RNA, 253 nt
Filed under: uncultured bacterium
Lineage: Bacteria
Description: partial 16S ribosomal RNA
Rfam family: Bacterial small subunit ribosomal RNA
Source: RNAcentral